UACGUAGGGUGCAAGCGUUGUCCGGAAUUAUUGGGCGUAAAGAGCGUGUAGGCGGCCCGAUUAGUCCGCUGUGAAAGUCGGGGGCUCAACCCUCGGAUGCCGGUGGAUACUGUCGGGCUUGAGUACGGAAGAGGCGAGUGGAAUUCCUGGUGUAGCGGUGAAAUGCGCAGAUAUCAGGAGGAACACCAAUUGCGAAGGCAGCUCGCUGGGACGUUACUGACGCUGAGACGCGAAAGCGUGGGGAGCAAACAGG
RNAcentral lists this ribosomal RNA (253 nucleotides) under uncultured bacterium. RNAcentral describes it as "partial 16S ribosomal RNA". It matches the Rfam family "Bacterial small subunit ribosomal RNA", at positions 524 to 776 of the family's 1533-position model. The record is from RNAcentral.